RNAcentral lists this non-coding RNA (126 nucleotides) under Clunio marinus. RNAcentral describes it as "Eukaryotic small subunit ribosomal RNA". It matches the Rfam family "Eukaryotic small subunit ribosomal RNA", at positions 283 to 409 of the family's 1831-position model. Lineage: Eukaryota; Metazoa; Arthropoda; Insecta; Diptera; Chironomidae. The record is from Rfam by way of RNAcentral.
GCCGACGACAGAUCUUUCAAAUGUCUGCCCUAUCAACUUUGAUGGUAGUAUAGAGGACUACCAUUGUUGCUACGGGUAACGGGGAAUCAGGGUUCGAUUCCGGAGAGGGAGCCUGAGAAAUGGCUA